GGGCCGUUAACUCAGUUGGUAGAGUAUCUGCCUUUUAAGCAGAGAGUCGCCGGUUCAAGUCCAGCACGGCCCA
RNAcentral lists this transfer RNA (73 nucleotides) under Syntrophobacter sp. SbD1. Its description in RNAcentral is "tRNA-Lys". It matches the Rfam family "tRNA". From Rfam's summary of the family: Transfer RNA (tRNA) molecules are approximately 80 nucleotides in length. Lineage: Bacteria; Pseudomonadati; Thermodesulfobacteriota; Syntrophobacteria; Syntrophobacterales; Syntrophobacteraceae. The record is from RNAcentral.